CCUCACUGCCGCCCGGAGCUGUCAUUGGCCGGCUGAAGCAGUGACGUAGAACGACCGGUGCUCACCCCCGCGCCUUAGUGGGAAUUGUAGUUUUAUUCCUGCUAAGCGGGAGUCGCCAUGCUGGCGGUCCUCCGCGAGCCGACUACAGAGACCAGGCGCCAUUGCGAACCAGGCGCAGCCGAAGCUGAAAUGCGGUGCCUCUGUUUAUUUGUUGAUUUCUUGCACUGAGAACGACGGGAGUUGUAUGCGCUUGCAUGACACAACUAGGAAUAACUUUUCACCUGUUCUUUGCUGUGACUCCAUGUCCCGGCAUUUGUGAGUCAUGGGUAUCAGGUAGUGCUUAGCAAAUAGUAAAGAUUCUAAACGCUGGAAUAAUCAGCAAAGUUCGGCCAAUUCGGAUUGUUUAAAACAGAACUCUCUGCUGGAACUUAGCCUCAGGAUGCACUCUCGUUAGAAACGGGAUAUCUGUUUGGUUUCCCUCCAGCUUUAAGGUAGUUUGUCCUGAGACUGCGGCUUGAAUCUCUCAAGGCUUUAAAACCAUGACAUUCUGCUAAAAUUGAGGAGGGCCUGAGUGGAAGGGCUAAAUCCAAGGGGUGGUGGUUGCAGUAUGGACAUCCUUCCUCAGCUUCCUGUGUUGAAGAGCAGGCCUUCAGCCUUCAGCCUCUCACUACACUCCGCACUGACAGACUGAGACAUUCUACAGACUCCAGCUGCUUGAGUGAGCCCUGAGUUCCUCAGGUCUAGUUGUCAGACAUGACUGACAUGAACCUUCUCUGUAGUUAAUAUGGUGUUGGUGAGCUUCUUGUUCAUAUGUACGAUAUUUUCCCUGUUGUUGAACUUAAAACAGUCUCCCACAGUACAGAACAUAUCUAUAUCAGAUAACAUUCCCAGCUGUCUCCUGAAGAUCUAGUUCUUAAUAUUUUAUGUAUUAUGGCCUUUUUUCUCCAUUAAAAGAUGGUUGCUAAGCAAAGAUAUCCAUAGUAGGCUUAAAAAGUCCAAAACUAAAAAUUAAUUAUAUUUACAAAUUUAUUUUAGAGAAACUGAAAAUCAUAAAAUAGCUCAAUCUAUGUAAAAUUUUUCAUUUUUUCAUCCAUGGUAGAAUUUGGUAUAAUUUCCUUGGAAUCAAUUUGCUAAUGGGAAAGCAAAUUCAUGAUAUUAACUUGAUAUACAUUCAUUUAUGAGAAAUUAUGAAAUUUUCUAAUGUCACAAUGGGAAAUAAAUAAAAAUAGCUAAAUCCA
Molecule: non-coding RNA, 1238 nt
Organism: Ictidomys tridecemlineatus (thirteen-lined ground squirrel)
Lineage: Eukaryota; Metazoa; Chordata; Mammalia; Rodentia; Sciuridae
Source: RefSeq, a predicted model, not a curated record